GUCAUGCUCGGGCAACACAUAUACUAAAAUUUGAAUGAUACAGAGAUAAGCAAGGCCCCUGUGCAAGGAUGACACGCAAAUUUGUGAAGCAUUCCAUAUUUAA
Suncus etruscus (white-toothed pygmy shrew) is the source of this 103-nucleotide small nuclear RNA. Lineage: Eukaryota; Metazoa; Chordata; Mammalia; Eulipotyphla; Soricidae. The record is from RefSeq and is a predicted model, not a curated record.